CCUACGGGCGGCUGCAGUGGGGAAUAUUGGACAAUGGGGGGAACCCUGAUCCAGCCAUGCCGCGUGUGUGAAGAAGGCCCUCGGGUUGUAAAGCACUUUCAGUGAGGAAGAACGCCUGGUGGUUAAUACCCAUCAGGAAAGACAUCACUCACAGAAGAAGCACCGGCUAACUCCGUGCCAGCAGCCGCGGUAAUACGGAGGGUGCGAGCGUUAAUCGGAAUUACUGGGCGUAAAGCGCGCGUAGGUGGCUUGAUAAGCCGGUUGUGAAAGCCCCGGGCUCAACCUGGGAACGGCAUCCGGAACUGUCGAGCUAGAGUGCAGGAGAGGAAGGUAGAAUUCCCGGUGUGGCGGUGAAAUGCGUAGUGAUCGGGAGGAAUACAAGUGGCGAAGGCGGCCUUCUGGACUGACACUGACACUGAGGUGCGAAAGCGUGGGUAGCAAACAGGAUUAGAUACACCGGUAGUC
RNAcentral lists this ribosomal RNA (465 nucleotides) under Vreelandella stevensii. RNAcentral's name for it is "partial 16S ribosomal RNA". It matches the Rfam family "Bacterial small subunit ribosomal RNA", at positions 338 to 795 of the family's 1533-position model. Lineage: Bacteria; Pseudomonadati; Pseudomonadota; Gammaproteobacteria; Oceanospirillales; Halomonadaceae. The record is from RNAcentral.